This is a long non-coding RNA of Solanum dulcamara, 7577 nucleotides long. RefSeq lists it as uncharacterized. NCBI's taxonomy places the organism in Eukaryota, Viridiplantae, Streptophyta, Magnoliopsida, Solanales, Solanaceae. The record is from RefSeq and is a predicted model, not a curated record. The transcript has 4 exons.
GUCAAAGUCACUUAAAAACUUAUUUAAGUUAAUUGGGGGAUGAAAUUAAUAUUACAAAAAAAAAAAAAAAACUUUUCCAAAAUACCCAACACACCCUAUUCGUCAAUUACCCAUUUAAUUAAAAUAUAAAAACAAAUUUUAAAAAAUCUUUGUCAACUAUCUUGGAAUAAUUGACGAACAUCUCCCCCUCUAUAUCCUCAACAGCUGUGGCAAUAGCUUUACAACAGAUUUGUCGCCUCGUCGUCGACGGCCGCUACAAUUUCGAAAAAUUCAACGUCGAUGCUUCAUUACUUUUUUCUUCAUCGAUAUCUUUUUAAAUCAGUACAAGGCAUAUUCAGACGGUUGCUAAGAGAACUAGAAUAGAAGAUCGUUAGCUUCUUGCAUUUAAGGAUGGUGAACACUCGCUACAAUGUUGUCCAGCCCACAUUUCCAAUCCAACCAAAUGAGGAACCAAUCGUGAGAGGACGUGGACAAGGAAGAGGCAGGAGAAAGAGACGUAGUAGAGGUUGAGGGAGAGUAACACCCGCUAGUGGUGAGGCUCUGAUAGAAGAAGUCCCUAGAGAGGAGGCCCCUCCCGCACCCCAGGAUGAGUUGGAAGAGAACAUGGAGGUGGAGGAAAAAGAGGUUGAAUAGGUGAAGGACACCUAAGCUGGGGCUAUUGGUCUUCUCUCUCUAGACCCUAUAUUAGCGUUGUAGAUCAUAGCCUUUCUGAGUAGGUUGGUUGGUACUGGAGCUAUCCCACCAUGCCCGCAUCACCAUCUCUUAUUGCUCGACCAUUUAUUAUUGCAGCUCUUUUAGUAGAUGAGGUGGUAGGCAUUGAUUCCUUCUUCAGACUACUUAUGGGCCUAGUUAUAACCGAUACUGAACAUGACAUGCUCACAAAGAUUCUGAAACUUAAGCCUCCUGUCUUUCAUGGAUCUUAGAGUGAGGAUGCAUAUGAGUUCAUCCUUGACUACUAUGCGAGGUUGCAUAAGUUGGGGAUAGUACACCAACACAGAGUGGAGUUUAUGACUUUUCAGCUAAAUGGUGAGGCCAAUCACUGGUUGAGGGAUUAUGUAGAGUGUCCCUCACCAGUGUUACCCCUACGUACUUAGGUCCUGUUUCAUGUCCUCUUCUCGGAGAAAUAUGUGUUGCGUACCUUGGGUCGCAAAAAGUACGAAUUCAUGGCAUUGGAGCAAGGUAGUAUGUUAGUGGCCGCCUAUGAGGCCAAAUUCCAUGCAUUAUCCAGGUAUGCUACUUAGCUGGUUACCACAUAGAAGGAGAGAAUCUGAUUAUUUGUGAAGGAGUUGAACCAUGAGUUACAGGUUUUUUCAAUGAGGUAAUAGAUUUUAUGAAACAGGUAGAGGGAGUACAAUAAGAUGGGCAGGCCAAGGCUUUGGCUAAGAAUCCCAAGAGUACAAGUAACUUUCAGGGAUCCUAUUCUAGAGGGUCAGGUAGGCCAAUAAUUGCAACCCAUCCGAUUUAGUCAGCACUGCCCAUUUCUACUGACAACGUUUUAGGUACUCUACAACAACAUCUGACCCAGAAAGGCUAAGGAGCUUCUUUUAUGGUUGGUAGUAGGUCGUCCUUUAGAUGCAACUAUUUUAAUUACAGAGAGCUGGGGCACAUCAGGUGGGAGUGUCCCCACCCUCGCGGGACAGAUUUAGCACCCGAGCAGGCCAGGGCAGUGGUACUUACGAGUGGAGGUGGAAGUGGUAGAGGACGUCUAUAAGGUGGUAACAACAACAACAUACCUAGUGAAAUCCCAUCAGUGGAGUCUGGGGAGGGUAGGGUGUACGAAGACCUUACCACUACCUCAUGGAGGUAGAGAGGUUAUUUUCGAAAGACCCUCGGCUCACAAGUCACAAUUCCAAGUUCGAGAGAAAAAUAAUAUAUAUAGCAUAAAACAAAAAUUAAAAAAAUUAAAAAAGAAUAAAAAGAAUAAUUAAAAAAAUAAAACGCAAUGCAAAUUUUACAAGACAAGAACAAUAACAAUAGAAAAGUAAUACGAUAAUCAAAGGCAAUAACAACACAACUAUAAAGGCACGCCUAGAUCUAUGACCACCCUAAACCGACACACGACAAGACACCAUUCUAUGCCUACUAGUCAUCUACCCUAAUCCGCGACCUCCACUCCUUUAUAUCUAAGGUCAUGUCCUCGGAGAUAUAAAGUAGCACCAUAUCUUGUCUAAUCACUUCUCUCUAAUACUUUUUUGGUCUACCCCUACCCAUCGUAUAGCCCCCAAAUCCAACCGCUCGCACCUCCUAACUGGAGCGUUGACACUUCUCCUCUACACAUGUCUAAACCAUCUCAUUCUCGCUUUUCUUAUCUUGUCUGCCACAGAUGUCACUCCCACCUUCUCUUAAAUAACCUUAUUCCUGAUUUUAUCACUUCUAGUAUGUUCACACAUCCAUCUCAACAUCCUCAUCUUUACAACAUGCAUCUUCUGAACAUGAGAGUUCUUUACUGGCCAGCUAAGGUAAUGGUAGUGUAGGUCAAGGAACAACGUAUCUAGGUAGAAAGGUGGCCCGUCAAACAGACAGAGCUCAGUUUAAUGCCUUUACGGGCAAGACCAAGGCUGAGGCAUUUGAUGUAGUAAUCACAGGUAGUAUUUUGUCUGUGACCGGAUGGCUGCUAUUUUAUUUGAUCCGGGAUCUACUUAUUCAUAUAUUUUAGUAAGAUAAGCCUUGGGUUUUGAUAUGAUGUGUAAUGUACUUGAUGCCCACAUCCAUGUUUUUACCCUGUUAGAUAGUCCGUUAUAGUCACCCAUGUUUAUCAUGCUUGUCCUAUUAUGUUCAUGAGAUUCCAAACUUGGGCAGACUUAGUGAUUUUAGACAUGACCAAUUUUGAUGUGAUCUUAGGCAUGACUUGGUUAUCCCCCUAUUAUGUUGUUCUUAAUUGUAAUGCUAAGACUGUGACUCUAGAGAUCCCGGGGAGGGAAAGGUUAGAGUGAGAAGGGGUAUACAAGUCUAAGCCAGCUAAGGUCAUACCCUUUCUGCAAGCUAUAAAAAUGGUGGGCAGGGUUGUUUAGCCUUUUUGGGCCAUAUUUUAAAUGUUAAUGUGGAGUCUCUCUCCAUUGAGUCUAUUCCAAUAGUGUGUGAAUUUCCAGAUGUGUUCUCUAUAGACUUGCAUUGUAUGCCUCCUAAGAGAGACAUAGAUUUCUAUAUUGACUUGGAGCCGGGCACUCGUCCAAUUUUUAUACCUCCUUACUGCAUGGCUCCAACAGAGUUGCGAGAGCUUAAGACUCAAAUCCAAGAACUUUUUGAUAAGGGGUUCAUCCGUCCUAGUGCUUGCUCUAAAAUUAUGGCUUGGAGUUGGCAGCAAUAGUGUUUGCUCUAAAAAUAUGGAGACAUUAUCUCUAUGGUGUCAAAUGUGAGGUGUUUACUAAUCACCAUAGUUUGCAACAUGUAUUCAUCCACAAAGAUUUGAAUUUGAGGUAGCGAAGGUGGGUGGAGUUGCUCAAGCAUUAUGAUGUCACUAACCAGUAUCAUCCAGGCAAGGCUAAUGUGGUGGCAGACGCAUUAAGCUGGAAAUUGGUUAGUAUGGGCAGUCUAGCCUAUUUGGAGCCUAUGAGCAGCCCCUGGCUAUAGAGAUUUGGGGCUUAGAGGCCAAAUUCAUGAGGCUAGACAUCUCAUAAAAGGGUGGGGUGAUGACUAAUGUUGAUCUAAAGCCCACAUUUAUUGAAGAAAUGAAAGUCAAAUGGUUUGAGUAUGUGAACUUGAUGGAGAUUAGAGAAAACGUUUGAUGGGCAAGGCCUAAAAUGUAGCCGUUGAUGCAGGUAAGGUGCCCAACUUUAGGGGAAUGAUUUAUGUUUCCUGGGUAGAUAAUUUAAUUUAGAAAGUGUUGUUCGAACCCCAUAGUUUAUAGUACUCUAUCCAUCUCGGAGUGACCAAGAUGUAUCAAGAAUUAAAGCGUCUGUAUUGGCGGUCGGGUAUGAAGAAAGACAUAGCUAGAAUAUGUAGCUAAGUGCUAGAAUUCUCAGCAAGUGAAAUAGGAGCAUUAAAGACCUACAUGUUUGCUUCAAAGAAUGUCCAUUCCUAAAUGAAUGUGGGAAAGGAUAGCCAUGGACUUUGUGGUAGGACUUUCCAAUACUUUGGCGAAGUAUGAUUCUAUUGGGUUGUUGUUGAUAAACUGACAAAGUCAACCCACUUCAUCCUGAUUAGAGUAGAUUAUAAUACACAAUGAUUGGCAAAAUAUAUGUGAAGGAAAUAGUAAGGCUGCACGGGGUGCCUCUUUCUAUCAUUUCAGACUAUGGUAUGCACUUUACCUCUAAAUUUUGGGAAAAGUUGCAUGAAAAGUUAGGCACUCAACUCACUUUCAGCACAACCUUUCAUCUACAGACAGAUUGGUAGUCAGAGAGGACUAUCCAAGUAUUGGAAGAUAUGUUGAGAGCAUGUAUGAUCGACUUUGGAGGACAUUGGGAUAGGUUCUUGCCCUUGUAGGAGUUCUCUUACAACAAUAGUUACCACUUCAGCAUUGAGAUGUCACCAUUUGAAGCCCUUUAUGAAAGGGGAUGUAGGUCUCCCAUAGGGUAGUUUGAGUCUGGAGAAGUAGAGCCCUUGGGGGUUGACUUAGUAAGAAAUACCCAAGAUAAGGUAAGGAGCAUCCAAGCUAAGCUUCUAGCAGCUCAAAGUCGCCAAAAAAAGUAUGCUGACCGUAAGGUAAGGGACAUGACAUUCUAAGCUAGUGAGCAAGUGCUUCUAAAAGUGUUACCUAUUAAAGGGGUAAUGAGAUUUGGUAUGAAGGUCAAGCUCAGUCCUCACUAUAUUUUUUUCCUUUAGAGAUUCUUGAUCGUGUAGGGCUAGUGGCUUACAAAUUGGCUUUACCACCUAGCUUUUCUUAGGUACAUCCUGUGUUUCAUGUGUCCAUGCUGAAGAAGUACCAUGGAGAUGGAGAUUACAUCGUUAAAUGGACUCAAUUUUGUCAGACAAGGAUCUUCAGUAUGAAGAAGAGCCAGUGGCAAUCUUGGAUCGUGAUGUACGAAAGCUGAGGACCAAAUAAAUUAAGUCUGUGUAAGUUCAAUAGAAGCAUCGUUCGGUAGAGGAAGCUAUUUGGAAAAAUGAAAAAGACAUGUGAGACAAGUAUCCCCAACUGUUCGUCAAAUCAGGUAUUACUCUGUCUCUAUCUUAGCCCUAUUUUUACCUAGUUGGUCACUCGGGGAUGAGUGAUGCGUAGAUUGGUAUCUAUUUUAAUGACCAACUCCGGUCGUUAUGGGUAAGCUAAUAGGGAAGGAAUCCGGGCCAGAAAACUUUAGGUAGUGACUUCAAAAAUUUUGAGCCUAGGCCAAAAUUGCACGUAUUUUGAGUCAAGUUUAAGGUGAUCCAGAAAUGGAUGGGGGAUGGAACCUCUAGUUUUAUUGAGUUAAUGGAUAGCUAAGCUGAUACGUAUCUUGUACGAUUUUAUGGAAUCGUAUUCGGGUGAGUAAAACUCCCAAAAUUGAACUUGGCGUGAAAGGUAUAUUUUAAGGCAUCUUAGGAUGAGGGUGUGUUGUAAAAUAGGAGACUUUGAGACUUUUUACGAGCUUUCUAUCUCCUCCUAUCCUGCUCUGACGAGACAGAUCAUGACUUAAGUCUGGAAAAUAAAUUCCAGAAUGGUUUAUUUCAUUCCCACUUCAUUCUUAAGAGAUCAGAAAUGACCUAGGGAAUUUUUUUAUUGAUUUCCACCAUAAUUUGUUCCAAAGGUAAGUAAUUACUCCCUCAACUUGUAAUUUGAUUCCUAGAACCCAUAGACUAUGGUUGGUGAUCAUUGGAGGAGGGUUUUGGACCGACCCUAAUGGUGGGAAAUAUCCCUAAGAUGGAGGUUAGGAUUGAGUGAGGCCUAAGAGGGGAAUUAUAUUAUAAUUCAUGUAAAUUAGGCCCUUGUAUUGAUCCUUUGUAUGUUAUUAUUGAUUUUAGACUAAGAACAAGCUAAACAAACUCGAAAAGGAAAAACUCCUGCACUUUAGAGUUGUCAAAGCAUGAUUUUGAGGUAGGCCAUGGUUUGUUUUCCCGUAUGUGAUUCAUGUACCAUUAAAUUACUUUGUUGUAUCGAUAUGUGUAUAUGAAUAGGACAGAACAAAAUGAACUAUAUGAAAUGACUACUUACUGGCAUUGACUUGUGAUGAACGGUUCUUAGUAGAUAUAUAAGUGUAACUAUUCAUUGUGAUUUUGGCUGAAUUAUAUGUUGGAUCGGGUGUCACGUUCUGACACAUACUUGAAUCGAGUGUCAUAUUCCGAUACAUAUUUAGAUCGAAUGUCACAUUUCGACACAAACUUUGGACCGAUCGUUCUGACAUAUAAUAAGUGCUUAUAGGUCUCAUGAGAGAACCCUUAUGUUAAAUUGUAUCAUAAUUGAGAUUCAUGAACUGUGAUCAUGUUGGCACUGGUUAUAAGAUGUUGAUAAUUAAGUCUACUAUAUAUAUAUAUAUGUGUGUGCGCGCGCGCGCACGCAUGCAUGUCUCGCUUACUAGCUAACCGCAUGAACUUAUCAGUACACUGUUAAUUUUUUAUACUGAUACUACACUUGCUUUAUCUUUAUUUAGUGCAUAGCUUAUUCAGACGACUGCUGAGAGACCUAAAAUAGAGGAUCGUUAGCUCCUUGAGUUCAAGGGUGAGCCAUUUCUUUUAGGCUUUCGUGGACUCUCCUUAUUCUAGUCCUUCUUUCCGGACUUAGACUCUUAACACUAUUAUUUUAUGACUUGUUGUGGUUGCAUCCCCCUUCCUAGACAAUGUAUUUUUUUAGAGUUUUGGUACAUUCGACUUUCGGUUCCUAGGAGAUAAAUUUCGUAUGUUUUAAGUUGAUAACUAGAUAUUUUCUGAGUUUGUGGGAAUUCAGCCUUUGUUUAUUUAUUAAACAUGUUUCUACAUCUUUUAGUUGUUUAUAUCUGCGAAUGCUUUUAUUUGGGCUGUAAUAAUGAUUCUCCCACUGAAGGGGGUUAGUGUAGGUCUAAUCACAGCAGUUCAGGAUCGUGAUAGACUGCCUUGACACUUGAUAAAUAAGGUGUAAGUCUCGAUAAAUUAUGAUGGGGAGUUUUAUUGAGUCAUAACGAUUGUUGUAUUGAAGGAUCGGUGUACAAAGGUGUAUGAUCCUAUGUCCUCAUUGAGAAACAAAAAAAUUUCUAGUGAAAUGCAAAUGUUAGCUAUAAUGUUGCCAAGGUAUCUUCAAUACAGUGAUUCUUUUGAGCAAAAAGAUCGAAUCGACUGGUCAGUGAUUGAAUCUUAUAAGGGCAGGAACGAAUCCCACUCAUUUGAAGUUGAAUAUGUUGCUGGCAUAGCCCAACAAGCAAGUGAUAGGAUUGUGGAUUUUCUGGGAUUGACUACGAGUACCAUCUUCUUGGAUUGUUGCUAAAUCCCUUCGCAUGAGAUAUGCUUCAUUUUUAUGAAAUUAUGGAGUUAUAAUGGAUCAGAAUGGUUAUAUUAGUGACAAUGAAGACCCACAGAGGCUGCCUAGACCUAAACCCAUCUUUAUACCUCUAGAUGAAAAUGUUAUGAUUACCAUUGAGUAGAUGUAGAUCUGUUGGUUAUGGUUAUGUCUAAUUUUGGAGUUACCUUUUUAUUGAUAAGUUGUAAAAAAAAAGGCGACUGCUUAUAUAUUAAUGUAUUUAAUAUUACAUUCUAAA